Molecule: ribosomal RNA, 321 nt
Filed under: Allapsidae sp.
Lineage: Eukaryota; Cercozoa; Glissomonadida; Viridiraptoridae
Description: SSU rRNA
Rfam family: Eukaryotic small subunit ribosomal RNA (bases 104-321)
Source: RNAcentral
GAUUUCUGGCUAGGCAAACCACUCCCGGCUCCUCACGGAGACGUGUGUGCUGCGUGUGCCUUCCAUCCUUUUGGCUAACCUAUGUCACUUCACUGGGAUGUAGGCAACCCAAAUCUUUUACUUUGAAAAAAUUAGAGUGUUUAAAGCAGGCUUUUGCUAUGAAUACAUUAGCAUGGAAUAAUAAUCUAGGACUUUCGGUUCUAUUUUGUUGGUGUUCUGGAGCUGAAGUAAUGAUUGAUAGGGAUAGUUGGGGGUGCUAGUAUUCAAUGGCCAGAGGUGAAAUUCUCGGAUUCCUUGAAGACUAACUUAUGCGAAAGCAUU